AGGGUUUUCCUUGGUGAGGUUUUUAAUGAGGAAGUUCUUCAAGGUUCCAAGUUUGACUUAGGAUCAGCUAGAGUCAACCUUGAGGGGGAGUGUUAACUUGAAGAGAAGAAGUGGAGAAGCAAAAGUGAUGAGUUGAGUUGGUGCUUGUGCAAAGACAUGGUAAGAUCUUCAGAGACUGUAUGUUAAGGCUUUGGGAGAGUCUUAAGGCUUCAGAAGUGGUCUGAUGAGUGUGCAAAGAUAGGGUUAAGUCCAGGAGGGACUUAGACACCAUUUAGAGAAGAUUUGGGUCAGACAGUAACUCCAAAGUUACCACAGUAACUUUGGAGAGUUACCACAGUAAGAUUGGAGAAGUUUGGGCAAGUUGGUGUAAAAGUGAAUAGUGAAUCACUAGUCACUAUUCAGGUUGACUAUUCACUAUUUGAGUCACUAUUCAGGAUGUGAAGAGUGUGCAUAGUAUAUGGAUAAGGCACCAAGGUUUGAAUCUAGUCAAAGGGAAUCAAGAAGAUGCUUUGUGGAGGCAAACAACCAAUGGGAGCUUCCUUGUAUGUGAUUGGCUAGUUCUGGUCUUGGACAGGCUGUCUGUUGCUGUAAAGAGAAGGGAGCCACGACCAUGAACCGGGACAGAUGCAUGGGAAGAUUAAGAGGAGCCUAAGGAGAGCCAAUCACAAGCAAGAAGCCAGCUUGCCUUGGUUUGAAUUAAAGUGAGCCAGCUUAGCUUAUCCAAUCAGCACACAUCACUCAGAUUACAACAAGACCAACUCAUCCUCACCA
This 771-nucleotide long non-coding RNA is filed under the name Brassica rapa (field mustard). Its description in RNAcentral is "long non-coding RNA (BRAP_LNC008047)". Lineage: Eukaryota; Viridiplantae; Streptophyta; Magnoliopsida; Brassicales; Brassicaceae. The record is from RNAcentral.